Molecule: RNA transcript, 1910 nt
Organism: Glycine soja
Lineage: Eukaryota; Viridiplantae; Streptophyta; Magnoliopsida; Fabales; Fabaceae
Gene name: probable serine/threonine-protein kinase PIX13
Exons: 7
Source: RefSeq, a predicted model, not a curated record
AUAUUUUCUUUGUACUCUUUGCACUUCUGUCACUAUAAACCAAGUCAGAUACGCCUCUCAGCAUUUCUUUCCCUGCUUUUCUGCUUAGGUAAAUGCAGAAACAAUUCUAUGGGGAAUUGUUGGAGUCUUCAAUCAGGUUCUCCAGGCGAUCAUCCCAACUCCAAUACUGCCCCCAACCUCAACAAUCAAUCAGGGAAUAUUCAAUUUUCUGCUGGUCUAAGCAACACAAGAUUAACACAGAAUGGCAAUUCUACUUCUCUUGGGCGUAGCAGCCACUCUGGAGGAAUCAGCAGCAGGUUCUUUGGGCCAAGUAGUAGUAAUAACUACUCAACUGGAAAUAACACUAGCACAUCCCUUUGGGGAGGCUCUGAGACUAGCCAAGCCUCUCGAGUUAGAGAUGAAGAGGAGUUUCCUCAAGGGCAGAUCUUGGAUAAUGUUGACUUGAGAGCAUUUACUUUGGCAGAACUGAAGGUAGCCACCAAAAAUUUCAGAGCUGAGACUGUGAUAGGAGAGGGGGGGUUUGGUAAAGUAUACAAGGGCUUGAUUGAUGAUAGAGCAGCAAAAAAAAGAGGUGAGGGGUUGACUGUUGCCAUCAAGAAAUUGAAUUCUGAAAGCAACCAAGGAAUUGUGGAAUGGCAGUCAGAGGUGAAUUUCUUAGGGAGGCUUUCUCACCCCAACCUUGUUAAGUUGUUGGGAUUUGGGCUAGAGGAUACUGAACUGUUCCUGGUGUAUGAAUUUAUGCAUCGUGGCAGCUUGGAUAACCACCUAUAUGGAAGAGGUGCAAAUGUUCGGUCACUUUCUUGGGAUACAAGGCUAAAGACUAUGAUUGGAACAGCUAGGGGACUGAAUUUCCUUCACUCCUUGGAGAAGAAAAUUAUAUAUAGAGAUGUCAAACCCUCAAAUAUACUACUUGACAAGCAUUAUACAGUCAAGUUAUCAGACUUUGGCUUAGCUAAAUCUGUGAAUUCGCCUGAUCAUAGUCACAUAACAACACGGAUUAUGGGGACAUAUGGCUACGCUGCUCCUGAGUACGUUGCAACAGGUCAUUUGUACGUGAAAAGUGAUGUGUAUGGAUUUGGAAUUGUUUUGGUGGAGGUGCUGACGGGCAAGAGGAUAAGGGAUAUAUUGGACCAGUGUCAGAAAAUGUCCUUGAGAGAUUGGCUCAAAACAAAUCUAUUAAGUAGAGCAAAAAUAAGAAGCACCAUGGAUGCAAAGUUAGAAGGAAGGUAUCCAAACAAUUUAGCUUUACAAUUAGCUGAACUAGCUCUCAAAUGCAUCCAAACAGAUCCCAAAGUCAGGCCAUCAAUGAAUGAAGUUGUUGAAACAUUGGAACAGAUUGAAGCAGCCAAUGAGAAACCAGCUGAUAACAGAAGACGGGUUACUCGUACCCGGGUAGUUCAACAACAUGGAGGGCCUGAUGGUGGUUAAUUGAAUUAAACACAUCUACACCAUAUUCUUUGCAGCUGAUGGAUUGUGGACUUGAAGAGCUUAUUGCUCUAGUGGCCUAGGGGGGUUGAGCUUGUAUAGUAUAACAUACACAUAUAUGAAAAGGAUCAGGGUUGAGCCUGUGACAUUUGGCUUUAUGUGCACCCCAAAGCUAGGAGAAAGAGACUUCAAACUAGGUCGUCCCCAGGCAUUGAUAAGCAAGCAGAGACUAGUCUUCGGAAUGCAGUCAAUUGUCUUCCACACAUUGUUCCAUUCCAGAAACUAGUUUCCAGAAUGCACAUCUCCAGCAACACACUUAGGUAGUCCAACCCUGCCUAUAUGUUAAAAGACAGGGUGCACUUCUUCCUCACAUUGCAGAUUCGCCCCAAACACACGCACACCAUAAUUUCACAUACAAUUAUCGUAACAUAUUAUUUUCUUGGAUCAAUUUUUUUAUUAUGGACAAUUCCAACGUAUGACCCGUA